This 468-nucleotide ribosomal RNA is filed under the name Rothia dentocariosa. RNAcentral's name for it is "bacterial SSU rRNA". It matches the Rfam family "Bacterial small subunit ribosomal RNA", at positions 28 to 507 of the family's 1533-position model. The record is from RNAcentral. Lineage: Bacteria; Bacillati; Actinomycetota; Actinomycetes; Micrococcales; Micrococcaceae.
GACGAACGCUGGCGGCGUGCUUAACACAUGCAAGUCGAACGAUGAAGCCUAGCUUGCUAGGUGGAUUAGUGGCGAACGGGUGAGUAAUACGUGAGUGACCUACCUUUGACUCUGGGAUAAGCCUGGGAAACUGGUCUAAUACCGGAUACGACCAAUCUCCGCAUGGGGUGUUGGUGGAAAGCGUUAUGGAGUGGUUUUAGAUGGGCUCACGGCCUAUCAGCUUGUUGGUGAGGUAAUGGCUUACCAAGGCGACGACGGGUAGCCGGCCUGAGAGGGUGACCGGCCACACUGGGACUGAGACACGGCCCAGACUCCUACGGGAGGCAGCAGUGGGGAAUAUUGCACAAUGGGCGCAAGCCUGAUGCAGCGACGCCGCGUGAGGGAUGACGGCCUUCGGGUUGUAAACCUCUGUUAGCAUCGAAGAAGCGAAAGUGACGGUAGGUGCGAGAAAGACCCGCUAACUACACA